CCUACGGGAGGCAGCAGUGGGGAAUAUUGGACAAUGGGGGGAACCCUGAUCCAGCGACGCCGCGUGAGUGAAGAAGUAUUUCGGUAUUUAAAGCUCUAUCAGCAGGGAAGAAAGACAUGACGGUACCUGACUAAUAAGCCCCGGCUAACUACGUGCCAGCAGCCGCGGUAAUACGUAGGGGGCAAGCGUUCUCCGGAUUUACGGGGUGUAAAGGGAGCGUAGACGGCGAUGCAAGUCUGAAGUGAAAGGCGGGGGCCCAACCUCCGGACUGCUUUGGAAACUGUAUGGCUGGAGUGCAGGGGAGGUAAGUGGAAUUCAUGGUGUAGCGGUGAAAUGCGUAGAUAUUAGGAGGAACACCAGUGGCGAAGGCGGCUUACUGGACUGUAACUGACGUUGAGGCUCGAAAGCGUGGGGAGCAAACAGGAUUAGAUACCCUUGUAGUC
This 443-nucleotide ribosomal RNA is filed under the name uncultured bacterium. RNAcentral's name for it is "partial 16S ribosomal RNA". It matches the Rfam family "Bacterial small subunit ribosomal RNA", at positions 338 to 795 of the family's 1533-position model. The record is from RNAcentral.